Molecule: long non-coding RNA, 406 nt
Filed under: Ananas comosus (pineapple)
Lineage: Eukaryota; Viridiplantae; Streptophyta; Magnoliopsida; Poales; Bromeliaceae
Description: long non-coding RNA (ACOM_LNC025696)
Source: RNAcentral
AUUUAUACCCAAACACCACUCUUAAGGGGUGGGGUUAGUAAACCCCACCCCAAACCGGGUUAGUGGGGUUUACUAACCCCACUCCCCCUCCCAACUUUAACCUUGCACGCAUCCCGAGCCCUCACCUUUUUCUUCUUUAUCAAUCAUUAACCCCACUCCCCCUCCCAAUUUUAACCCCGCACGUAUCCCGAGCCCUCACCUUUUUCUUCUUUAUCAAUCAUUAUCUUCUUAUCCCACCUACUCCAACCAAACACUUUUUUUCACUAUUCUAGACUAACUCCAACCUCCAACCAAACACAAAAAAAGUUUAACACCAUUUUAACCCUGAACUUAACCCUAUUCCUGGAAUAGCUAUUUUUUCUUAACCCCGAACCAAACGGUAGCUAAACAGUUACCUAUUUUUGAC